Molecule: long non-coding RNA, 691 nt
Organism: Nicotiana attenuata
Lineage: Eukaryota; Viridiplantae; Streptophyta; Magnoliopsida; Solanales; Solanaceae
Exons: 2
Source: RefSeq, a predicted model, not a curated record
UCCCCAGACCCCACGGUGUGGAAUAAUAAUGGGGAAACCUGAAACUUUUUUUUAGUUGCGUCGUCGUAAUAUUUCCUAAUAAUCCAAAGUUUUACAAGUUGGAAGUGAAUUGAUUAGAACAUUAAAAGAGAGCUCCUCUCUUGUUGCAUGGUCUUAAACUUGUCUGCUAAUUAGGACUUUAUAAUCUUAAAGCUACCUUUUCUGGUUUACUUUAAGUUCAAGACCAUCUCAUGGUUUUCAACAGAAGGCAAAAAAAUACUGGGUACAAUACCAAAUUAGCCGGUCGGUCGAAACUAAAUGCAUUCGUUAGCUAAAGUCUAUGAAAUUAUAUGUAUUAAUAUAUACAAAAAAUAUAUAUUUUAUCAGCUAUUAUUUUUGGAAGCGACUAAGAAUACAUUUCCCAGAAAUAUUUUGCAAAAACACGAAAAAUAUAACAAUAGGCACAUGUAUGAUAACUUAAGAUGUUCAACAGUUUUUUUGUUUUUUUUUUCUAUAAUGUUUCUACACUUCCCCUCCAGCGUGACUCGAAUUCACGACCGUUAGUGGAGGUGCUUUACCAAGUGAGCAAGCCUUAGUUGUCAUGUUCAACAGGUUUGACCCCAAGUUUAGGCGUCUAAUUGAUAAAUAGUGCUAAGUUGACGUGGCUAUCGUUGUAUACCAGAAAUUGUAAUGAAAUGGAAUUUGCAACCAA